Molecule: ribosomal RNA, 470 nt
Filed under: Batrachuperus pinchonii (Western Chinese mountain salamander)
Lineage: Eukaryota; Metazoa; Chordata; Amphibia; Caudata; Hynobiidae
Also listed under: 1 other name
Description: partial 16S ribosomal RNA
Rfam family: Bacterial large subunit ribosomal RNA
Source: RNAcentral
UUGUCUUUUAAAUAAAGACCAGUAUGAAUGGCAAGACGAAAGUUCAACUGUCUCCCUAAAUUAAUCAAUGAAAUUGAUCUUCCCGUGCAGAAGCGGGAAUAAAACUAUAAGACGAGAAGACCCUAUGGAGCUUUAAAUAUAUGGUCAACUGUAUAAUAUAAAAUUCAAUAGAUUAAACAUUAAAUAAAACAUUAUGAUCAAAAUUUUAGGUUGGGGCGACCACGGAGAAAAAUAAAACCUCCGAGAUGAAAAGAGUAUCUUAAUUUAUGAACUACAGUUCUAAUAAAUAAAAUAUUUAACAUAAUUGAUCCAAUAUAUUGAUCAACGAACUAAGUUACCCUAGGGAUAACAGCGCAAUCCUUUCCAAGAGUCCCUAUCGACGAAUGGGUUUACGACCUCGAUGUUGGAUCAGGACACCCCAAUGGUGCAGCCGCUAUUAAAGGUUCGUUUGUUCAACGAUUAAAGUCCUA